AUGACGUAAGCAACCGGGGGCUGGGCUACGCGCGUGUUGAGAAGCCGCUCGCUUUCCGCGCGCUCUGAUAACCCAACGUCCUCACGCCGGAGCUCCACAGAGCACCUGCCUGGAUUGAAUAUGCCAAUGCUCUGCACCUCCUGGAUAUCCCAAGAGAAACAUUGUCCAAUCAUCGACUCUGUGCAAGGCACUUCACACCUGACAUGUUCAUAACAUCGGGACCUCAUUCACAGGGCAUCAAGAGGCGUCUGAAACCUACUGCAGUACCAACCGUUCCUGUACUUGAUCCGUACUUAAGGCAUUUUGUUUUACCAAAGUUUUACAAUGGACCAGACCCAAGCACAGGUACACUUUUCGCACGUGCAUGCUUUUUCCUCCUGCUGCAGAGAUGAAAGCUGCCAAGUCUUGUCACAUCUUCGCCAGUGAAACAGUAGUUCUGCAUAGAUUGGUUUAAGCUUUUUCUACCAUCGCACCACACUAAUAAUUCUUUGUUCUGUUUUGCAGCCAUCGUGUGCUCUCCCAGUUCCUACACAGUGGUUCACGUUAUUGCUGCAGUGGACUGUCAUAAGUGCAAAAAGAAUACUACCCAUUGUUACCCUAGGCACUCAACUGCUUUCACCCCCCUCCCCCCCCUUUCUAGCAGGAAGAUUGUCUCCACUCGAUCCAGAGGCGCCAGCUGGGAUGCAGCAACAUGCAAUGC
Molecule: non-coding RNA, 700 nt
Organism: Dermacentor albipictus
Lineage: Eukaryota; Metazoa; Arthropoda; Arachnida; Ixodida; Ixodidae
Source: RefSeq, a predicted model, not a curated record